UCCAACUUUUCCUGUGGCGAUUGAUGUGAC
This 30-nucleotide non-coding RNA is filed under the name Rattus norvegicus (Norway rat). The record is from RNAcentral. Lineage: Eukaryota; Metazoa; Chordata; Mammalia; Rodentia; Muridae.